This 912-nucleotide ribosomal RNA is filed under the name uncultured Bacteroidota bacterium. RNAcentral's name for it is "bacterial SSU rRNA". It matches the Rfam family "Bacterial small subunit ribosomal RNA", at positions 14 to 916 of the family's 1533-position model. The record is from RNAcentral. Lineage: Bacteria; Pseudomonadati; Bacteroidota.
UGAUUAUGGCUCAGGAUGAACGCUAGCUACAGGCUUAACACAUGCAAGUCGAGGGGAAACGAUAUUGGAAGCUUGCUUCCGAUAGGCGUCGACCGGCGCACGGGUGAGUAACGCGUAUCCAACCUGCCCACCACUUGGGGAUAACCUUGCGAAAGUAAGACUAAUACCCAAUGAGGUCUCUAGAAGACAUCUGAAAGAGAUUAAAGAUUUAUCGGUGAUGGAUGGGGAUGCGUCUGAUUAGCUUGUUGGCGGGGUAACGGCCCACCAAGGCGACGAUCAGUAGGGGUUCUGAGAGGAAGGUCCCCCACAUUGGAACUGAGACACGGUCCAAACUCCUACGGGAGGCAGCAGUGAGGAAUAUUGGUCAAUGGGCGAGAGCCUGAACCAGCCAAGUAGCGUGCAGGAUGACGGCCCUAUGGGUUGUAAACUGCUUUUAUAAGGGAAUAAAGUGAGUCUCGUGAGACUUUUUGCAUGUACCUUACGAAUAAGGACCGGCUAAUUCCGUGCCAGCAGCCGCGGUAAUACGGAAGGUCCGGGCGUUAUCCGGAUUUAUUGGGUUUAAAGGGAGCGUAGGCCGGAGAUUAAGCGUGUUGUGAAAUGUAGACGCUCAACGUCUGCACUGCAGCGCGAACUGGUUUCCUUGAGUACGCACAAAGUGGGCGGAAUUCGUGGUGUAGCGGUGAAAUGCUUAGAUAUCACGAAGAACUCCGAUUGCGAAGGCAGCUCACUGGAGCGCAACUGACGCUGAAGCUCGAAAGUGCGGGUAUCGAACAGGAUUAGAUACCCUGGUAGUCCGCACGGUAAACGAUGGAUGCCCGCUGUUGGUCUGAAUAGGUCAGCGGCCAAGCGAAAGCAUUAAGCAUCCCACCUGGGGAGUACGCCGGCAACGGUGCAACUCAAAGGAAUUGACGG